CCUACGGGAGGCAGCAGUGAGGAAUAUUGGUCAAUGGGCGAGAGCCUGAACCAGCCAAGUAGCGUGAAGGAUGACGGCCCUAUGGGUUGUAAACUUCUUUUAUAUGGGAAUAAAGUGAGGCACGUGUUCCUUUUUGUAUGUACCUUAUGAAUAAGGAUCGGCUAACUCCGUGCCAGCAGCCGCGGUAAUACGGAGGAUCCGAGCGUUAUCCGGAUUUAUUGGGUUUAAAGGGAGCGUAGGUGGGUAAUUAAGUCAGUUGUGAAAGUUUGUGGCUCAACCAUAAAAUUGCAGUUGAAACUGGUUGUCUUGAGUACAGUUGAGGUAGGCGGAAUGCGUGGUGUAGCGGUGAAAUGCAUAGAUAUCACGAAGAACUCCGAUUGCGAAGGCAGCUUACUGGACUAUAACUGACACUGAGGCACGAAAGCGUGGGGAUCAAACAGGAUUAGAUACCCGAGUAGUC
RNAcentral lists this ribosomal RNA (460 nucleotides) under uncultured bacterium. RNAcentral's name for it is "partial 16S ribosomal RNA". It matches the Rfam family "Bacterial small subunit ribosomal RNA", at positions 338 to 795 of the family's 1533-position model. The record is from RNAcentral.